GACCGGGAUGAGCUCAAAUUUGAAAUCUGGCGUCUUUCAGGCGUCCGAGUUGUAAUCUAUAGAGGCGUUUUCCGCGCCGGACCGCGUCCAAGUCUCUUGGAAUAGAGUAUCAAAGAGGGUGACAAUCCCGUACUUGACGCGACAACCGGUGCUCUGUGAUACGUUCUCAAUGAGUCGAGUUGUUUGGGAAUGCAGCUCUAAAUGGGUGGUAAAUUCCAUCUAAGGCUAAAUAUUGGCGAGAGACCGAUAGCGAACAAGUACCGUGAGGGAAAGAUGAAAAGCACUUUGGAAAGAGAGUUAAACAGCACGUGAAAUUGUUAAAAGGGAAACGAUUGAAGUCAGUCGUGUGGGAAGUAUUCAGCCGUCUCUGGCGGUGUAUUUGCUUCUCACGGGUCAACAUCAGUUUGAUCCGGUAGAAAAAGGCGGGAAGAAGGUGGCACCCUCGGGUGUGUUAUAGCUUCCUGUCAUAUGUGCCGGACCAGACUGAGGAACGCAGCUUGCAGCAAUGCCGGGGUUCGCCCACGUACAAGCUUAGGAUGUUGACAUAAUGGCUUUAAACGACCCG
RNAcentral lists this ribosomal RNA (565 nucleotides) under Vishniacozyma carnescens. RNAcentral's name for it is "partial large subunit ribosomal RNA". It matches the Rfam family "Eukaryotic large subunit ribosomal RNA", at positions 96 to 651 of the family's 3401-position model. Lineage: Eukaryota; Fungi; Basidiomycota; Tremellomycetes; Tremellales; Bulleribasidiaceae. The record is from RNAcentral.